RNAcentral lists this transfer RNA (78 nucleotides) under Burkholderiales bacterium. Its description in RNAcentral is "tRNA-Arg". Lineage: Bacteria; Pseudomonadati; Pseudomonadota; Betaproteobacteria; Burkholderiales. The record is from RNAcentral.
GCAGCGGCUGGUCUGGCUGGGUGGUGGCAUAGCACUUCUGGUGCUCUGCGCCUUGGGGUUUGGCGCCCUGCUGCUGCA